UGUCCCUCUCCACAGCACCCAAGGGAGAAGGGCAGGGAUGUGCUUUAGGAAUCCAAAGUGCCACUUUUUGGCAAAGGGAAUUAUUUGCCAUUUCUGCCUGUGCCAGAUAAUCUGAAUUUCCCCUAAGACUUGCUGCAGUGAUUGACUAGGGACUAUUUUAAACAAAUUUCUAGGAAUUUAAGCAAAAUUUCCUGCAGGAUUUUCCAGCAAGGCUCACCUGAGAGGAGUGGUGGCCUUAGGAAAGUCUACUUUUCAUCACAGGUGAUAACUCCUGUCUUGUUUCCCCGUUGAAAAUACCACUCAGCCCUUAAAGCUGUCAUUGUACCAUAACUGGCAUUCCCCUAAAACCCCACAGGACAUUGUGGGCAGCCAAGUAAAUUAGUAAAUCAGUAAAUUAGUAAAUCAGUAAAUCAUUAAAUUUGGCUCCUUGGAAAAUGUUCUUGAAAAAUUCAUGUUUUGAUUUUACAGCAGAAUCCAACAGAUCCAGAAAUCACUGGAGAGCAGCAGUUGGCUUCUUUUGUUUUUCCUCUUUCCUUUGCACAGAAGACAGCUGGAAUACCAGGAAACCCUUAUUCACCAGAGAAAGAGUCUGGGGCUGUUUUUUCAGUGAUGUUGGACCAUCCCAGCACCACAGAGUGGGGCUCUGUUUUCUGUGCUCAUGGAAACUGCUCUGAUCAGGCGCUGCCUGCACUUCCUCUGUCUCCCAGGCACUCGAUUUCAUCACUGAGUUACUGAAGAAGGCUAAAAAUCCAAGCAACAAACACCAGGAGUGGCAAGGAAUGAGGUGAGAGUUUGAAGAGCUUUUGGUAUAGUAAGUCUGGAAUUUGUUUAAGGCUUUCUGAAGUGUAAUUUGAACGGGACAGGGGAUCCUUCCUGCUUUCCUUUCUUGUUUCAGUUUCCUGACCGAGUUACCAGUAGUUCUUCACACAAACAGAGGGACAAUAGAGGAACACGAGGCAGGGGCUGAUUUCUCUCCCAGAGCACUGUGGUCCUAAAGUUGUUCACAUCCUGAUCACUGCCUGAUGUGGAGCUGCCCCUGGGUCUGGCAAUGCAUUCAUUUCCCCUCUCUGUGUGUGAUUUUUGGGUACCUUUCUUAUCUUUUUGUCGAUUCAAUUUUUUUUUUCAAGACUCUGUGCCAGAAAUUUGGCUGCAGGAAAGCCACAGGAUCAUUUAUUCCUCACUGUCUGAUUUGACAUUGAGUUUGCUUCUCUCUCCCGAGGCUCAAAGACAAGAAAGCCAAUACCCAGAAUUACCCCUGGACUCCUGUAAGUUCUGCAGAUUUCCUGGAUUAUUGAUAUAAUUUUCCUCAUUGAUUGGAUGUCUCAUUGAACCCAGCUCUCUCUUCCCUCUGUCUCCAUUAAAUCACUUUAUUCUCCAUUCUCCCCAUUCCCCUUAAGCUCCCAGCUUUGAUAAGUCAUCCCUCAUCAGCUGAUGGUGGAAACCACAUCUCCCAUUAACCUUUUCUCACUUUGACCUCCCUCCUCCCAGAGAGGACUCCAGGACAGUCAUUUCUUGGGCUUCGCCUCAUCAGGGGGCUCCAGAUAAGACAGAGCUGGGCCGAAAGCUCUGCCUGGGCUGAAACCAAAGCCCUGCCCAAGUUCCCCCUCUGCCUGGGCGAAGGGCAAGCAGACACGACAAGUUCUGGGAUUUCUGUAGUCAAACGUGUCCCUUAGCAGAGGGGAGGAGGGGAACCCCGCUGCACAAGUCACAAGUUGAGUUUCUUCAAUUUCGAGUUCCUCCACGCUUCUUUCAUCAAUCGAAGCCUCAUUAACGAAGGCGCCCCUCAAAUCAAAGUGCCCUCUGCGGGCUCUGUUUUGCUGCUCGUGUUCCCGUUUAGAGACGGCGGCGGUGUCACAGCCUGUCCCUGUCCCUGAGUCACCCUGGCACUCCUGCCCUGCCCCGGGGCCGGGGAUUACGGGAUCCCUGUGUCAGCACAGGGGAACGCCGCAGGCAGCCCGAGGGGCUCAGCAGAGCCCUGGGGAGGUGCCACCGUCCCCGCAGGGUCG
Long non-coding RNA from Motacilla alba alba, 2006 nucleotides. RefSeq lists it as uncharacterized. The record is from RefSeq and is a predicted model, not a curated record. NCBI's taxonomy places the organism in Eukaryota, Metazoa, Chordata, Aves, Passeriformes, Motacillidae. The transcript has 3 exons.